GAUGAACGCUGGCGGCGUGCUUAACACAUGCAAGUCGAACGGUAAGGCCCCUUCGGGGGUACACGAGUGGCGAACGGGUGAGUAACACGUGGGUAAUCUGCCCUUGUCACCGGGAUAACUCAGGGAAACUUGAGCUAAUACCGGAUACUCCGCGAAGAUCGCAUGGUCUUCUCGGGAAAGCUCCGACGGACAGGGAUGAGCCCGCGGCCCAUUAGCUUGUUGGUAGGGUAACGGCCUACCAAGGCAACGAUGGGUAGCCGAGCUGAGAGGCUGAUCGGCCACACUGGGACUGAGACACGGCCCAGACUCCUACGGGAGGCAGCAGUGGGGAAUUUUGCGCAAUGGGCGAAAGCCUGACGCAGCAACGCCGCGUGCGGGACGAAGGCCUUCGGGUUGUAAACCGCUUUCAGCAGGGAUGAAACUGACAGUACCUGCAGAAGAAGCCCCGGCUAACUACGUGCCAGCAGCCGCGGUAAUACGUAGGGGGCAAGCGUUAUCCGGAUUCAUUGGGCGUAAAGCGCGCGUAGGCGGCUUGUUAAGCGAGAUGUGAAAACCGGGGGCUUAACCCGCGGCCUGCAUCUCGAACUGGCAGGCUUGAGUCUGGUAGAGGAAAGUGGAAUUCCCAGUGUAGCGGUGAAAUGCGCAGAUAUUGGGAGGAACACCAGUGGCGAAGGCGGCUUUCUGGGCCACGACUGACGCUGUGGCGCGAAAGCUAGGGGAGCGAACAGGAUUAGAUACCCUGGUAGUCCUAGCCGUAAACGAUGGGCACUAGGUGUGGGGGGUCACCAACUCCCUCCGUGCCGCAGCUAACGCAUUAAGUGCCCCGCCUGGGGAGUACGGCCGCAAGGCUAA
Molecule: ribosomal RNA, 852 nt
Filed under: uncultured Actinomycetes bacterium
Lineage: Bacteria; Bacillati; Actinomycetota; Actinomycetes
Description: bacterial SSU rRNA
Rfam family: Bacterial small subunit ribosomal RNA
Source: RNAcentral